This is a long non-coding RNA of Numida meleagris (helmeted guineafowl), 3034 nucleotides long. RefSeq lists it as uncharacterized. The record is from RefSeq and is a predicted model, not a curated record. The transcript has 2 exons. Lineage: Eukaryota; Metazoa; Chordata; Aves; Galliformes; Numididae.
UAGGGUGGGCUCAGCCCUCAACAAAUUGCAGGGCAAACAGUACACGUCGGUCACGUCCGUGGUUUCCAGCAGCUGUGCUCCUCAAAUGGGCUCGCACUGGUUAUAUCAGCAUUACAGCUCACGUUGCUGCGUGAUAACAGCGACAGAACCCCGCAGCAGCCGCUGGCGUCGCACGGCACCGCGGGCAGGCACCGAGCAGCGGCCGGGAGCAUCCCGGGGACGAACCCGGCCCGGCCGCACCGCUCCGCUCCGGCUCCCGGCGCCGCGUGAAAGCUGGUUUUGUUUCUCCCCUGCCCGAGAGCCGGAGGUGUGUAAACAGGAAGAGGCACUCCCUGCGCAGCCGGCAGCGGGGAAACGAGGAGCAGAAAAUAUUCCCCCAUCGCUUCCUGGCAUCAAAGGUUUCUCCCGUUCUCCCACCCUGAAAAAAUAAAGCCAGGAGCAUCGGCGCGAUGAGAGAUGGAGGGGCAGCGCGGAGCCGGGCGGGCAGGAGCACGGGCAGGAUGGAGAGCAUGAAAAGAGCUCUGUGCAGCCCGACUCUCCUGUGGGCAAUAAGGGCUGCUGAAAGGCCCAGAAAGACGCUUCAUCACGGAGUGUUUAUCGCUGAGGUCAUUUCUACCCUUCCUCUCUUCCCUCCUUCUCCUCCCUCCCUGCCCCAGCACUGGGUGCGGGUUUCUGAGGGCAGAGCCUGUGGUGUCCCAUGUCCCCUCUGUGCCACACAGGUGUCCUGUGGGUGCCUCUUUUGGGGUCAGCUGUACCUGGGACAUUCUUACAUCAAGGAACAGCAAACAGUGCUGCAAAGCCCUUAUUCUCCACAGGCUUCUCGCCCACUCCACCGCAGCAGUUCUGCACGGUGGCAGCGUGAGGUGCCCCCUCCUUCCAACCCCCCGCCCCCUGCAGCAGUGCAGGGCCCAGGCUCCCUGGAAGCCCCAUCCCAGCACACCGCUGUGGUCCCAAGCUGGAUGGCACUGGGGACAGCCCGCUGGAGCUGAGAUACGCGCUGUAACCACCUGGUGGCACCAAAAAAAAGUUGGCUGGGAAGGGUCUAAUUAAUACCAGUUGCAGUCUUUGGCUUGGGAAUUCCAGCGCAGUUUUUAGCAUCUCUGUGGUUCGCUGUGUGGUUGUUAAACACCAAGUCAUGCUUUAUAGCUGGAGGGUUAAUGUCUGUGGGCUGCAGCCUCGCAGCAGGGGAUGGGUUUAGGCUCAGGCUGUUUGGCAAAACUAAAAGGUGCAGUGGUGCCGGAGAGGGGCCGAGCUCAGCAUCAUGCAACACUCCCCAUUCUGCUCCCUGCUAUACGAGUCGCUGCUGAUGCUGUCCCAGGACUGCCCAGGAGCGCUUCCUCCAUCUUGCUGCACAGAUGGACUCAUCUCCCCAGGUCAAAGCCUGACUUGGACAGCCAGCACACUGACCACCCCGUCCCAUCUGGGGGCCCCCGUCAGUUCCUGCUUCUGACACCUCAUCUCCCCGUGGUGGCUCUGCCCUUGGAAAAACAGAUGGGAUCCUCCAGCAGAUGUGGGGAGAUGCUGGCAGCAUGGUGGGGAUUGAAACCCCCUUUGUGCUGUGGAUGCUGUCCGCAGUCAGCAUGGCAGAUGGGCCUGGGUGCCAUUUCUUUCCAGGUCUGUGGCAGAUGGAUCCAUUCCCCCUCCAGCACGAGCCCUCAGCCUGAGGAGGCAGCAGAGAUGGGCUGAUGUUGGAGCUAAAUGCCUUCUGUCUGUUCCCAGAGACCUCAUGCUGUCCCUGCACCCUCCCCAGCAGCUCUCCUCCAUGGCACUAUCCCACUGCUCCCCCAGCUCCAGCAACCAGCACUGGAAACUAUUUCAAAGCAGACCAAACAGCAAAGGCAGCCCCAGGAAUGCGCCAGCCAGGAGGGAGGCUUCAUGCCGUGGGCCCCCGGGUCAGAGCUCAGGAAUAGCAGUCCCAGCGGUGGCUGUGACAGCAUUUUGUGGAUAGCAGCUGGCUCUUAUGGCUCAAAGCAACCCUAAAACUGUCCAAACAAACCCUGAGCUCACGGCUUUCCCGACCCGUGUACAAUCCAUCACUGGCCCUGCUUUAUUGCAGGGUAUCACACAGCUGUGGUGCUCCCUGUGCUCCAGGGAAGGCCCCGAGCUAAGGGUGUGAGCAGCACUGCUCAUGGCAUGGCUGGCGGGGAGGGGGUGUGAGCUGCCCAGUGCUCCAGCAUCGUGCUGACACCCUCAUCCCUCUCUACUAAACCCAUCUGCACCCUGUAGGAUGACAGGCACGCAGGUGGGGUGAAGAUGGGACAGUGCCUGAUGGAGUUGAGCAAGGAGGUCACUGUCCUGUGAGCAGAGCACUGCAUCCUAAUAGGGGUGAGAAGCUGCAGAGGAAACGGAGCCUGGUCCAUACCCAUGAGCACCGCCAAAUAUCCCCAGUCCUCAUCCUUCUCUGCUUUCCGAGCAGCCCUGCUUCCCUCCUUGCCACACAACUUGCACUGCAAGAAGACCAGCACAGCCUGCGGGAUCCUCUCCAGCCCUGCCACCCGCAGCAGCUGCAGGAUGGAGCAGCUCGGUGGGACUUACUGCAAGCUGCGCCGUGUCCAGCCCGGCCCUGUGCCAGCCUGCAGAACCUCCCAGGUCCUUUUCCCCAUUAUAUUGCUAAGCAGGAUGCAAAUUAGCACCAGGACUUCUGAUGAAAGGGAGUUUAAUUGCCUCAGGUAAAGCAUAGCUUAAGGAAAGUGUGGAGAGAGGCAGCAGCUCUUGAUAGACUGAGAGAUUUAUGUGCUUCAGCUGCUCCCGAUGAGCCCUGCUCGCCCCUGCUCCCCAUCGCAUGGUCUCCAUCCUUUGGGGCUGCCCCAUGUGUUGAAAUGUUUGGGUGUCUCUGGGGGACUGAGCCUUGGCUCACAUUAAUCCCCCCUCGCUAACCCGACAACAGGGAGGAAAUUGGCUUCAAUUAAAUGUGUAAAGUUUCAUUUCCCUUUGAAGUGCAGAGCAGCACAAGAGGCUGCUCAGGGAGCGCUAGAGAGUAACUAGAUAAAACCGGGCCCAAAACCUCAGAAGUGGGGACUGGCAAACUGAGGAA